GCCGGGAUAGCUCANUUGGUAGAGC
This 25-nucleotide transfer RNA is filed under the name Bryopteris filicina. RNAcentral describes it as "partial transfer RNA-Phe". Lineage: Eukaryota; Viridiplantae; Streptophyta; Jungermanniopsida; Porellales; Lejeuneaceae. The record is from RNAcentral.